Molecule: ribosomal RNA, 356 nt
Filed under: uncultured bacterium
Lineage: Bacteria
Description: bacterial SSU rRNA
Rfam family: Bacterial small subunit ribosomal RNA
Source: RNAcentral
AGAGUUUGAUCCUGGCUCAGGAUGAACGCUAGCUACAGGCUUAACACAUGCAAGUCGAGGGGAAACGACAUCGAAAGCUUGCUUUUGAUGGGCGUCGACCGGCGCACGGGUGAGUAACGCGUAUCCAACCUGCCCAUCACUUGGGGAUAACCUUGCGAAAGUAAGACUAAUACCCAAUGAUAUCUCUAGAAGACAUCUGAAAAGAGAUUAAAAGAUUUAUCGGUGAAUGGAUGGGGAUGCGUCUGAUUAGCUUGUUGGCGGGGUAACGGCCACCAAGGCUACGAUCAGUAGGGGUUCUGAGAGGAAGGUCCCCACAUUGGAACUGAGAACACGGUCCAAAACUCCUACGGGAGGCA